This 255-nucleotide ribosomal RNA is filed under the name uncultured bacterium. Its description in RNAcentral is "partial 16S ribosomal RNA". It matches the Rfam family "Bacterial small subunit ribosomal RNA", at positions 524 to 776 of the family's 1533-position model. The record is from RNAcentral.
UACGUAGGGUGCAAGCGUUGUCCGGAAUUAUUGGGCGUAAAGAGCUCGUAGGCGGCCUGUCGCGUCCGCUGUGAAAACCCGGGGCUUAACCCCGGGCCUGCAGUGGAUACGGGCAGGCUGGAGGCAGGCAGGGGAGAACGGGAAUUCCCGGUGUAGCGGUGAAAUGACGCAGAUAUCAGGAGGAACACCGGUGGCGAAGGCGGGUCUCUGGGCCGAUACUGACGCUGAGGAGCGAAAGCGUGGGGAGCGAACAGG